RNAcentral lists this non-coding RNA (757 nucleotides) under Oryzaephilus surinamensis (saw-toothed grain beetle). The record is from RNAcentral. Lineage: Eukaryota; Metazoa; Arthropoda; Insecta; Coleoptera; Silvanidae.
GGUUGAUUUGAUUUUGGUCAAAUAGUUUAAUUAAAUUUUAAUUUGUAUACAUAUUUUUAUAUUUAAAGAGAUAGGAUUUUAAGUAGUAAAUAGUAUUGGACAAUUAAGGUAACUUAGAUUCAGUAAUAAUUUUUAGUAUUAGCAAAAAUUGUGCCAGCAGUUGCGGUUAAACAAUUGAUGCAAUUAAACUUUUUUGGUUUUGAUUAUUUUUAUUUAAUAAUUUAUUUUUUUAAAAAUUAGGUGAAAUUUUUUUUAUUAACAUGAUUAGUUUUUUUAUUUAGAGAUCAAUAAAUCUUUUUAUUAAACUAGGAUUAGAUACCCUAUUAUUAUAGACGGAAGUUUAUGACCAGAUUAGUAUUAGUUAUUUUCUUGAAAAUUAAAAAAUUUGGCGGUAUUUUAGUCUUUUCAGAGGAACCUGUUGUAUGAUUGAUAGUCCACGAUUUAUUAUACUUUUAUUAUUAGUUUAUAUAUCGUUGUUGUUUGAAUAUUUUUUAAGGAUUUAAAUAUUCAUAAUUUUCUUUAGAAAGGAAAUCAGAUCAAGAUGUAGCUUAUAUAAAAGAAUUAAUGGGUUACAAUAAAUUAUAUUUAAACGGACAGGGUUUUGAAAAUACUCUUAAAGGUGGAUUUGAAAGUAAUUAGAAUUUAGAUUGUUUUGAUGAUUUAGCUCUAGAAUAUGUACAUAUUGCCCGUCGCUUUCGUUAUAAAAUGAAAUAAGUCGUAACAUAGUAGAUUUACCGGAAGGUGAAUCUGGGUAGAC